Molecule: ribosomal RNA, 897 nt
Filed under: uncultured bacterium
Lineage: Bacteria
Description: bacterial SSU rRNA
Rfam family: Bacterial small subunit ribosomal RNA
Source: RNAcentral
AGAACGAACGCUGGCGGCGUGCUUAAGGCAUGCAAGUCGUGCGAGAAAGCCACCUUCGGGUGGUGAGUACAGCGGCGCACGGGUGAGUAACGCGUGGGUAAUCUGCCUUCGGGUCUGGGACAACACCGGGAAACUGGUGCUAAUACCGGAUAAGACCACGAUGACUGCGGUCGAUGCGGAAAAAGGUGGCCUCUCCUUGGAAGCUACCGCCCGAUGAUGAGCCCGCGUCCCAUUAGCUUGUUGGUGGGGUAAAAGCCUACCAAGGCUUCGAUGGGUAGCUGGUCUGAGAGGACGAUCAGCCACACUGGAACUGAGACACGGUCCAGACUCCUACGGGGGGCAGCAGCCGGGAAUCUUGGGCAAUGGGCGCAAGCCUGACCCAGCAACGCCGCGUGAGGGAUGAAGGCCCUCGGGUCGUAAACCUCUGUCGGGAGGGAAGAAAUGGCCGUAGGCGAAUAGUCUACGGUUUUGACGGUACCUCCAAAGGAAGCACCGGCUAACUCCGUGCCAGCAGCCGCGGUAAUACGGAGGGUGCAAGCGUUGUUCGGAAUUACUGGGCGUAAAGCGGGCGCAGGCGGCUUGACAGGUCGGGUGUGAAAUCCCGGGGCUCAACUCCGGAACUGCACUCGAAACCGUCUCGCUAGAGUCCCGGAGAGGAUGGCGGAAUUCCCGGUGUAGAGGUGAAAUUCGUAGAUAUCGGGAGGAACACCAGCGGCGAAGGCGGCCAUCUGGACGGUGACUGACGCUCAUGUCCGAAAGCGUGGGGAGCAAACAGGAUUAGAUACCCUGGUAGUCCACGCCGUAAACGUUGAGUGCUCGUCGUCGCGGGUAUUGACCCCUGCGGUGACCAAGCUAACGCAUGAAGCACUCCGCCUGGGGAGUACGGCCGCAAGGCUA